AGAGUUUGAUCCUGGCUCAGGAUAAACGCUGGCGGCGUGCCUAACACAUGCAAGUCGAACGUCCUGGUCCUUCGGGAGCAGGGAGUGGCGGACGGGUGAGGAACACGUGGGUGACCUACCCCCCGGUGAGGAAUACCGCCGAGAAAUCGGCGACAAGACCGCAUAGGCUCGCGCGGUUUGGAGACCGAGCGAGCAAAGCUUCUCUUCGCGAGAGGAGAGGCGCCAGGGGAUGGGCCUGCGUCCGAUUAGCUGGUUGGUGGGGUAAUGGCUCACCAAGGCUGCGAUCGGUAGCUGGUCUGAGAGGAUGAGCAGCCACACUGGGAUUGAGAACGGCCCAGACUCCUACGGGAGGCAGCAGUGAGGAAUUUUCCACAAUGGUCGAAAGACUGAUGGAGCAACGCCGCGUGCAGGAGGACGCUUUUCGGAGUGUAAACUGCUUUUCCCAGGGAAGAACAAGGACGGUACCUGGGGAAUAAGCCCCGGCUAACUACGUGCCAGCAGCCGCGGUAAUACGUAGGGGACAAGCGUUGUCCGGAGUUACUGGGCGUAAAGCGCCCGCAGGCGGUCCGCUAGGUUUGCGCUGACAGCUCCUGGCUUAACUGGGAGAGCGGUGCGAAAACGGGCGGACUUGAGGACCAGAGAGGGACAUGGAACUCCGGGUGUAGUGGUGAAAUGCGUAGAUAUCCGGAAGAACACCAAAGGCGAAGGCAGUGUCCUGGCUGGUACCUGACGCUGAGGGGCGAAAGCUAGGGGAGCGAACGGGAUUAGAUACCCCCGUAGUCC
RNAcentral lists this ribosomal RNA (783 nucleotides) under uncultured bacterium. Its description in RNAcentral is "bacterial SSU rRNA". It matches the Rfam family "Bacterial small subunit ribosomal RNA", at positions 8 to 796 of the family's 1533-position model. The record is from RNAcentral.